CAGCUACUCCCUCCGUUCGGAAAUAUUUGUCAUUGAAAUGGAUGUAUCUAGAUGUAUUUUAGUUCUAGAUACAUCCGUUUUGAUGACAAAUAAUUCCGAACGAAGGGAGUAGUAC
Molecule: non-coding RNA, 115 nt
Organism: Triticum aestivum (bread wheat)
Lineage: Eukaryota; Viridiplantae; Streptophyta; Magnoliopsida; Poales; Poaceae
Source: Rfam